Transfer RNA from Strongyloides venezuelensis, 82 nucleotides. It matches the Rfam family "tRNA". Rfam says of the family: Transfer RNA (tRNA) molecules are approximately 80 nucleotides in length. The record is from Rfam. Lineage: Eukaryota; Metazoa; Nematoda; Chromadorea; Rhabditida; Strongyloididae.
GCAGUCAUGUCCGAGCGGUUAAGGAGAGUGAUUAGAAAUCACUUGGGCUUUGCCCGCGCAGGUUCGAAUCCUGCUGACUGCG